Schistocerca piceifrons (Central American locust) is the source of this 1252-nucleotide long non-coding RNA. RefSeq lists it as uncharacterized. Lineage: Eukaryota; Metazoa; Arthropoda; Insecta; Orthoptera; Acrididae. The record is from RefSeq and is a predicted model, not a curated record. The transcript is spliced from 8 exons.
UGUUCAUUGUUUGUGCAACGGGGAAAAGACGUGUGCUUCACUAUUUUGCGUAUGUGCAGUGAUAAAUAAUUAGUGAGGUGCGUGUGUAAUAGGUGUUCUGGGUGCAGGAAGUGCUUAUUUAGUUUAUAGUGAAGUGAAUCUAAAAUGUGAAGUGUAGUGCCACGGAUAACGUCAUAUUACCGCCACUUGCAGGUUAACGUCACGGGGGCGGUCGUACUGCCACUAAAUAUUAAUGUAAUGGUGGAGGAGGAGGAUGCGGGGGCUGCUGGAGAUACAAUCUCGACUGCUGAUAAGGUCAAGUUUAAUGCCGGUGUGCACUGCUGGUGACAAGCGCCUUCGUGUCAUCGGCAGCACUGACGUACGUCUCUCAUGGGACCGACUGGGUUCCUGACCAUUCAAGCUCGCGUAAUUGCCAGCACCUCCCCACCACCCGAUCUCUCUGGAGGCACAAAUAUCUUGUGAUAGACAUCAAAUCACUCUGAAGUCUCAACCCAGUGGCUGCUGAAGAUGAUCCCUGGCGAAUGACUGCUCAGAAGCAGAUAUGUGUGCAUGAUGAGAAUAUCAGUUUUAAGACACCACUAUCAACCGCUGGUGCAUCAGCGCUUGUAUUGUAAUUUGGGAGUGAAUUGUGUCAGACACUUUCCCCAGCCAGUGCCACACACCUCCGUCACACAUGCUGAAUACUCUUCUAAUGCAUGUUGAUUAUGGGCUGCUGGAUGUAUAUUUUGGCAAUGAGCACAACAAACAUUUUUUAUAGUAAUUGGGAAAUGGCGGUCUUAUGACCUCUACACAGUGUGGCCCCCUCACUGGCAGCCUUGGCCUUUGAGUUGGUUAGCCCGACUGUUGGUAGUGGCUGCACCUGCACUAGUGGCGGGAUCGUCAUGAGCAGCAACACGAUCUGCAGAACCUGGGCCAUCGAUGUGGGGUCAAUGUAGUAAUAGUGGCUCUCUGCCAGCAGGAGCCCAGCCGCCUGUUCCGACAGUGAAGAUGAGGAUGUACAGAUGUGAUGCCAGCAACCCAACAAGGCCACAUUGCUUCCGUGCUAUGAUGCUUCACUGCUGUUAUCAGUGCCAGCGGUGGACAUACUGGCUGUUAGGGGCUCUACCAGAUAGUAUGGUGUCACUGUCACUGCAGAACCCACAAUCACCACCACCACUACCACAGUGGUAUAUGUUACCCGAAGGAUAUAAAGAUGAUGAAAUAAUGAGGGUGUAAUUUUCUUAUACAAAUUAAUAAAUACCAAUUAAGAGGA